GAUGAAGAACGUAGCGAAAUGCGAUAAGUAAUGUGAAUUGCAGAAUUCAGUGAAUCAUCGAAUCUUUGAACGCACAUUGCGCCCGCCAGUAUUCUGGCGGGCAUGCCUGUUCGAGCGUCAUUUCAACCAUCAAGCCCCAGGCUUGUGUUGGGGACCUGCGGCUGCCGCAGGCCCUGAAAACCAGUGGCGGGCUCGCUAGUCACACCGAGCGUAGUAGCAUACACAUCGCUCAGGGCGUGCUGCGGGUUCCGGCCGUUAAACCCCUUUUUUACCCAAGGUUGACCUCAGAUCAGGUAGGAAGACCCGCUGAACUUAAGCAUAUCAAUAAGCGGAGGA
Molecule: unclassified non-coding RNA, 336 nt
Filed under: soil metagenome
Description: partial contains 5.8S ribosomal RNA, internal transcribed spacer 2, and large subunit ribosomal RNA
Rfam family: 5.8S ribosomal RNA (bases 1-120)
Source: RNAcentral